AGAGUUUGAUCCUGGCUCAGGAUGAACGCUGGCGGCGUGCUUAACACAUGCAAGUCGAACGCAGUCUUUCGGGACUGAGUGGCGAACGGGUGAGUAACGCGUGAGGAUCUGCCCUUAGGUGGGGGACAACCGUUGGAAACGACGGCUAAUACCGCAUAUGGCGGGAGCUAAAAGCUUAAUGUGCCUGAGGAUGAACUCGCGUCUGAUUAGCUAGUUGGUGAAGUAAUGGUUUACCAAGGCGACGAUCAGUAGCUGGUCUGAGAGGAUGAUCAGCCACACUGGACUGAGACACGGCCCAGACUCCUACGGGAGGCAGCAGUGGGGAAUUUUCCGCAAUGGGGGCAACCCUGACGGAGCAACGCCGCGUGGGGGAGGAAUGUCUGUGGAUUGUAAACCCCUUUUCUCAGGGAAGAAGAUCUGACGGUACCUGAGGAAUCAGCAUCGGCUAACUCCGUGCCAGCAGCCGCGGUAAGACGGAGGAUGCAAGCGUUAUCCGGAAUUAUUGGGCGUAAAGCGUCCGUAGGCGGUUUAUCAAGUCUGUCGCUAAAGACUGCAGCUUAACUGUGGGCGAGCGGUGGAAACUGAUUAACUAGAGUGUGGUAGGGGUAGAGGGAAUUCCCAGUGUAGCGGUGAAAUGCGUAGAUAUUGGGAAGAACACCAGUGGCGAAGGCGCUCUACUGGGCCACAACUGACGCUGAGGGACGAAAGCUAGGGGAGCGAAAGGGAUUAGAUACCCCUGUAGUCCUAGCUGUAAACGAUGGAUACUAGGUGUUGCGCGUAUCGACCCGUGCAGUACCGCAGCCAACGCGAUAAGUAUCCCGCCUGGGGAGUACGCACGCAAGUGUGAAACUCAAAGGAAUUGACGGGGGCCCGCACAAGCGGUGGAGUAUGUGGUUUAAUUCGAUGCAACGCGAAGAACCUUACCAGGGCUUGACAUCCCUCGAAUCUCUUGGAAACGAGAGAGUGCCUUCGGGAGCGAGGAGACAGGUGGUGCAUGGCUGUCGUCAGCUCGUGUCGUGAGAUGUUGGGUUAAGUCCCGCAACGAGCGCAACCCACGUCCUUAGUUGCCAUCAUUCAGUUGGGCACUCUGGGGAGACUGCCGGGGACAACUCGGAGGAAGGUGUGGAUGACGUCAAGUCAUCAUGCCCCUUACGUUCUGGGCUACACACGUACUACAAUGCUUCGGACAAAGGGCAGCGAGC
Molecule: ribosomal RNA, 1202 nt
Filed under: metagenome
Description: bacterial SSU rRNA
Rfam family: Bacterial small subunit ribosomal RNA
Source: RNAcentral